This is a long non-coding RNA of Thalassophryne amazonica, 278 nucleotides long. RefSeq lists it as uncharacterized. The transcript has 3 exons. The record is from RefSeq and is a predicted model, not a curated record. Lineage: Eukaryota; Metazoa; Chordata; Actinopteri; Batrachoidiformes; Batrachoididae.
AUGAAAAUUAAGGGAGGUGUCCUGGGGACCAAGCUGAGGCCAUUACUCGACAAACUAAGUCAGAACCAAGGCAUUGAGAUGAGACGUGAAACUGUGCUCCGUGGCCUCAUAGUCUACCUUGGAGAGAAAGAAGAGGAACCAUUUGAAGAUUGCCUGGAGGACAACCGCAGUGAUGCCACUCAGCACAUCCUAAAGAUUCUGGUUGUCCAUGGGCCGGAUUGAGAAGAUCCAAUGGAUGUAUCCAUCCUUCUUGAAGGCCAGGAGAUGUUGCCAGGAUG